RNAcentral lists this non-coding RNA (30 nucleotides) under Mus musculus (house mouse). The record is from RNAcentral. Lineage: Eukaryota; Metazoa; Chordata; Mammalia; Rodentia; Muridae.
GGAUAAAAUAGAGGUGAGCAUAAAGUUGCC